Molecule: ribosomal RNA, 434 nt
Filed under: uncultured Pseudobutyrivibrio sp.
Lineage: Bacteria; Bacillati; Bacillota; Clostridia; Lachnospirales; Lachnospiraceae
Description: partial 16S ribosomal RNA
Rfam family: Bacterial small subunit ribosomal RNA
Source: RNAcentral
ACGGGAGGCAGCAGUGGGGAAUAUUGCACAAUGGGCGCAAGCCUGAUGCAGCGACGCCGCGUGAGCGAUGAAGUAUUUCGGUAUGUAAAGCUCUAUCAGCAGGGAAGAUAAUGACGGUACCUGACUAAGAAGCACCGGCUAAAUACGUGCCAGCAGCCGCGGUAAUACGUAUGGUGCAAGCGUUAUCCGGAUUUACUGGGUGUAAAGGGAGCGUAGGCGGUCUUACAAGUCUGAUGUGAAAGCCCGGGGCUCAACUCCGGUACUGCAUUGGAAACUGUAGGACUAGAGUGUCGGAGGGGUAAGUGGAAUUCCUAGUGUAGCGGUGAAAUGCGUAGAUAUUAGGAGGAACACCAGUGGCGAAGGCGGCUUACUGGACGAUUACUGACGCUGAGGCUCGAAAGCGUGGGGAGCAAACAGGAUUAGAUACCCUGGUA